Molecule: long non-coding RNA, 587 nt
Organism: Echinops telfairi (small Madagascar hedgehog)
Lineage: Eukaryota; Metazoa; Chordata; Mammalia; Afrosoricida; Tenrecidae
Exons: 2
Source: RefSeq, a predicted model, not a curated record
UGGGGCGCCGGGUAAGCGUAGAGUGGGCCUUGGGUUGACGUCGGGCUCUCUGCGUCUUUCCCCCCAGGAUCUCCACGUUCUCGGGCAUGUGGACGGAGGUGGGCAACGACGCGCCUCGCAGGGACCGUGUCUGGAGACCCCGGGCCAUCACCGUGGAGUCCCACUGGCUGCCACUCUGUUGGGACCUCCAGGUUUGUGUAGUCUCCUCCUCAACCACAGAAGCCCACCGCCCGACCUGGCGCAGGUCUCCUCCAGUUUGGGCUUUUGAGGAUUGGGGGAAUCCGGGUCGCGGGCCUCCAGCACAGCACAUGGCACUGUGUUGCCCGUAUUGUAUUUAUCUACCAUCACAAUGUCCCCAGCUGUGACCUGCCACAGGGUGCUGCAGCAGGAAGGGGGUCCUCGGGGUUUGCAGCCAGCAGGUAACCACAUCUUGCCAGGGGAGGGUGCCCCCAUUGGGGCUUAUUUCCCCCUGCCACUUGUCCCCAGGGAGGCCUGAACUAUAGAAGCUACAUGUGUGGAGGUGUGGUUUAUACUGGGGGGCGGGGACCUCACUGUCCCUGGAAUAAAGUAUUCAUCACUGUGUCCAA